This 1344-nucleotide ribosomal RNA is filed under the name uncultured marine archaeon. RNAcentral describes it as "bacterial SSU rRNA". It matches the Rfam family "Archaeal small subunit ribosomal RNA". The record is from RNAcentral.
UCCGGUUGAUCCUGCCAGAGGCUACCGCUAUUGGAGUUCGAUUAAGCCAUGCGAGUCGAGAGUCUUAGGGACUCGGCGUACCGCUCAGUAACACGUGGGUAACCUGCCCUAUGCUGGGGAAUAACCUCGGGAAACUGAGAAUAAUACCCCAUAGUCCACCAUGCCUGGAACGGUUGGUGGAUCAAAGCUCCGGCGGCAUAGGAUGGGCCUGCGGCGUAUCAGGUUGUAGGGGGUGUAACGUACCCUCUAGCCAUCAACGCGUACGGGUGUUGGGAGACAUAGCCCGGAGAUGGAUUCUGAGACACGAAUCCAGACCCUACGGGGUGCAGCAGGCGCGAAAACUUGGCAAUGCGAGAAAUCGUGACCAGGGAACUCCAAGUGGCUGGGGUAAGACCCAGUCUUUUCUUGACUCUUAAACGGUCUUGGAAUAAGGGGUGGGUAAGGACGGUGCCAGCCGCCGCGGUAAUACCGGCGCCUCAAGUGGUAGUCGAUUUUAUUGGGCCUAAAACGUCCGUAGCCUGUUUGGUACAUUCGUGGGUAAAUCAACCAGCUUAACUGAUUGAAUUCUGCGAGCACGGCCAGACUUGGGACCGGGAGAGGUGUGGGGUACGCUCAGGGUAGGGGUAAAAUCCUGUCAUCCUCAGAGGACCACCUGUUGCGAAGGCGUCAUACUGGAACGGAUCCGACGGUCAGGGACGAAGCCUAGGGGCACGAACCGGAUUAGAUACCCGGGUAGUCCUAGGUGUAAACGCUGUGGAUUUGGUGUGUGGGGUCCGCAAUGGGCCCCAUGUGCCGGAGUGAAGAUGUUAAAUCCACUGCCUGGGGAGUACGGUCGCAAGGCUGAAACUUAAAGGAAUUGGCGGGGGAGCACUGCAACGGGAGGAGCGUGCGGUUUAAUUGGAUUCAACGCCGGAAAACUCACCAAGGCCGACUGUUAGAUGAAGAUCAGCGUAACGAGCUUAUUGGAUUAUCAGAGAGGUGGUGCAUGGCCGUCGUCAGUUCGUACUGUAAAGCGUUCUGUUAAGUCAGAUAACGAACGAGACCCGCAUCCUUAUUUGCGACCCUCAUGUCCGCAUGAGGCGCACCAUAGGGAGAUCGCUGGUGUGAAACCAGAUGAGAGCGCGGGCAACGACAGGUCAGUAUGCCCCGAAUGUCUUGGGCUACACGCGCGCUACAAAGGACAGGACAAUGGGAAGCCACGCCGAGAGGCGGCGCUACCCCGAAACCUGUUCGUAGUUCGGAUCGAGGGCUGUAACUCGCCCUCGUGAAGCUGGAUUCCGUAGUAAUCGUGUUUCAACAUAGCACGGUGAAUAUGCCCCUGCUCCUUGCACACACCGCCCGUCA